GGAACUUUGGUUCUGGUGAGGCAGCAUCAGGACUCUCUAGAGGCCAGACAAGAGUGUGUCCCUACAUUUGUAUGGAGAGAGGACAAGAGCCACAAAGAAGCCUUUAGGAAAUGAAGCACCCUUGCUGAAGCCCUCCAAAGGGUUUACCUGUCAUCUGGGGUAAGACAACUCCAGUUUUUGGCUCCCCUGUGACAGGUGUUUGUCAAGUUCUGGAUCUGGUAAUGAAGUCAUAGAAGGCCCCCGAAAUGCAACAGUCCUGAAGGGCUCCCAGGCUCGCUUCAACUGCACUGUCUCCCAGGGCUGGAAGCUCAUCAUGUGGGCUCUCAAUGACAUGGUGGUGCUGAGCAUCAGGCCCAUGGAGCCCAUCAUCACCAAUGACCGCUUCACCUCUCAGAGGUACGACCAGGGCAGGAACUUCACCUCGGAGAUGAUCAUCCACAAUGUGGAGCCCAGUGAUUCGGGGAACAUCAGAUGCAGCCUCCAGAACAGUCGCCUGCAUGGAUCUGCUUACCUUACGGUCCAAGUUAUGGGAGAGCUGUUCAUUCCCAAUGUUAAUCUUGUAGUCGCUGAGAAUGAACCUUAUAAAGUUACUUGUCGAGCCUCGCACUGGACCCGGCUCCCGGAUAUUUCCUGGGAGCUCGGUCUCCUGGUCAGCCAUUCAAGCUAUUAUUUUGUUCCGGAGCCCAGCGACCUUCAAAGUGCAGUGAGCAUCCUGGCUCUGACCCCACAGAGCAAUGGGACUUUGACUUGCGUGGCUACCUGGAAGAGCCUGAAGGCCCGCAAGUCUGCAACUGUAAAUCUCACUGUGAUUCGGCGUCCCCAAGACACUGGAGGCAGUAUUAAUAUUCCAGGUAUAUUAUCAAGUUUACCAAGUUUAGGUUUUUCAUUGCCUACUUGGGGCAAAGUUGGACUUGGAUUAGCAGGCACCAUGCUUCUGACGCUGACGUGUGCUCUUACAAUACGCUGCUGCUGCUGCCGCUGCCGCCGUUAUUGUGGCUGCAAUUGCUGCUGCCGUUGUUGUUUCUGCUGCAGAAGAAAAAGAGGAUUUCGUAUUCAAUUUCAAAG
This 1065-nucleotide small RNA is filed under the name Pongo abelii (Sumatran orangutan). Its description in RNAcentral is "processed transcript". The record is from RNAcentral. Lineage: Eukaryota; Metazoa; Chordata; Mammalia; Primates; Hominidae.